CCCCCCCCCUUUUUUUUUUUUUUUUUUUUAAAAAAAAAAAUUUUGGGGGGGGGGGAAAAAAAAAAAACCCCCUUUUUUUCCCCCCUUUUUUUUAAAAACCAAAAUUUUGGGGAAAAAAAAGGGGGGGGAAA
Non-coding RNA from Cherax quadricarinatus, 131 nucleotides. The record is from RefSeq and is a predicted model, not a curated record. Lineage: Eukaryota; Metazoa; Arthropoda; Malacostraca; Decapoda; Parastacidae.